RNAcentral lists this ribosomal RNA (869 nucleotides) under uncultured bacterium. RNAcentral's name for it is "bacterial SSU rRNA". It matches the Rfam family "Bacterial small subunit ribosomal RNA", at positions 626 to 1505 of the family's 1533-position model. The record is from RNAcentral.
GUUGAAACUGGCGUUCUUGAGUGGGCGAGAAGUAUGCGGAAUGCGUGGUGUAGCGGUGAAAUGCAUAGAUAUCACGCAGAACUCCGAUUGCGAAGGCAGCAUACCGGCGCCCUACUGACGCUGAGGCACGAAAGCGUGGGUAUCGAACAGGAUUAGAUACCCUGGUAGUCCACGCAGUAAACGAUGAAUGCUAACUGUCCGGUGCGAGUGAGCGCUGGGCGGUACAGCGAAAGCGUUAAGCAUUCCACCUGGGGAGUACGCCGGCAACGGUGAAACUCAAAGGAAUUGACGGGGGCCCGCACAAGCGGAGGAACAUGUGGUUUAAUUCGAUGAUACGCGAGGAACCUUACCCGGGCUCAAACGCAGGCUGACGGGUCCCGAAAGGGGCCUUUCUUCGGACAUUCUGCGAGGUGCUGCAUGGUUGUCGUCAGCUCGUGCCGUGAGGUGUCGGCUUAAGUGCCAUAACGAGCGCAACCCCUGUCCACAGUUGCCAGCAGGUAAAGCUGGGGACUCUGUGGAGACUGCCGGCGCAAGCUGCGAGGAAGGCGGGGAUGACGUCAAAUCAGCACGGCCCUUACGUCCGGGGCGACACACGUGUUACAAUGGCAGGUACAGCGGGAUGCCACGGGGCGACCCGGCGCUGAACCCGAAAACCUGUCUCAGUUCGGAUUGGAGUCUGCAACCCGACUCCAUGAAGCUGGAUUCGCUAGUAAUCGCGCAUCAGCCACGGCGCGGUGAAUACGUUCCCGGGCCUUGUACACACCGCCCGUCAAGCCAUGGAAGCCGGGGGUACCUGAAGUGCGUGACCGCGAGGAGCGCCCUAGGGUAAAACCGGUGACUGGGGCUAAGUCGUAACAAGGUAACCGUAA